AACGAACGCUGGCGGUAUGCUUAACACAUGCAAGUCGAACGGAUUUUGGGGCAACUCAAAAUUAGUGGCAAACGGGUGAGUAAUGUAGAGGAAUCUCCCUAGCAGUAAGGAAUAACUUUGGGAAACCAAAGCUAAUACCAUAUAUUACCGACCUAGUCGGGAAAGAUUUAUCGCUGUUAGAUGAGCCUCUAUCGGAUUAGCUAGUUGGCGGGGUAAAUGCCCACCAAGGCGAUGAUCCGUAGCUGGUCUG
This 250-nucleotide ribosomal RNA is filed under the name uncultured bacterium. Its description in RNAcentral is "partial 16S ribosomal RNA". It matches the Rfam family "Bacterial small subunit ribosomal RNA", at positions 29 to 294 of the family's 1533-position model. The record is from RNAcentral.